CCCUCGCAUACAAUUAGGAAAUUGCGAAGGGACUAUUUUUGUUUACCACCAUUUCACCACCUCUUAGUUUACAUGGGAUCAGUCGCCGUGGAAUGGAACCAAACAUACGGACGAACACUGUAACCAAAACUCUCAACAAGCGGCCAUGGCGGAACAAAAAUCCCAAAAUCAUUACUCUCUUUUCCUUAACUCUUGCCGCCCUCAAAAACCCACAAAUUCCUUCAUCCAAAACCCUAAUUUUAAAUUCCUUAAACAACUUCCUCCGUCUCCUACGCCGGAAAUCGUCAUUACCCUCGGAAUCCCUUGUCAACCCCAUAAUCUCUCUGCUUCCUCCCCUUCUUCAUUCAAGCUACGAAGAAAUUACUUGCAUGGCCGUGAAAAUUGUUGGAGCGACAUCCCUUGUUUCAAUUGAAAUGAAUGAAAGGAUUGCUUGUGAUACUGGGAUUUUGAAGGGUUUAGUUUGGAAUAUAUUGAGGGCUGACAAAAUGGUUACUAAAAAAGCUGUUUGUAAUGCUGUUUUAGAUCUUUUUAUCACUUCAUUGGGUUGUCAAAAGUUGCUGCAAGUUUUUGCUUUGAAUUAUCUAAUGCUUGGAUUCGUUCAGGUUCAAAAAUCCAUGGUCACUUCCGUUUAUAUCAAAACAGUGAAAUCUGAUGGUGAUGUUUUCCUUGGAAUUGAUCAAAAUCAAGAUGAAACUCCAUUGUUACUUCUCAAUGCUACAGCUACUCUUACCAACAUUUGCAACUCUAAACAGCUGACAAACAUACCAAGGACACUAAAAGAAGCUGUUUUUCCUUAUUUGGAAGAGAUAUGGUCUAACAUACACGAACAGUUGUUGGCCUCCACAAUUCUCAAUUCCUCUGAAUUUAAACACUGCUACAUGAGUAACCUUACUGUCCAGAACUUAGCAGAGAGCAUUUUUAGGCUACACAUGGAUGCUCCCACUCUUACUAAUUCUAUACCUUCAAAGGAUGUCAUGGGGCACUUAUUUAGACCUUUUUCAUCAAGUUUUGAGGGCUUCGUGUCUGACCAUUGGGAACUAUCACCUUUUCUAGUUAAGGCGCAACCAAAAGAUCCGAACAGACCACAUGGUUUUUUCAGCUCAUUUAUGAAUUUAUUAACAUGUGAAGAAGCAGUGCCUAGAUUCCUUUCUUCGAUACUUCGAGGAAUGGUUUCUUGUUCUCCUCUAGCUAUAGACGAAAUAGACAGUCUGGGUUUUCUUAAUGAUGUAAAGGAAACUCUUGGUUUUCCUUUGAUAUAUCAGCAAGACUUGCGUGUUGUAAGGACGAACUUGCAUUCUAAACUUCAGGAGCAUUAUUUUCAGGAAAGUUCUAGCAAUGGCGUUGAGCUUCCAAGAUCUUUUUCUGCUGAUGACAUUUUAAAGGUCAAGGAAGCUUAUGGAGAGGGUUAUACUGUAGCUUUGCGUGGCAUGCAGUUCCGCUCUAAUAGCAUUGCUGCAUUUACACGAGAAGUUGCUUCUUUUUUUGGUCAACCGUCAGUAGGUGCUAAUCUGUAUGUUACACCACCGAAUUCUCAAGGUUUAUCCUGCCACUACGAUGAUCAUUGUGUUUUCGUCUGCCAACUUUUUGGGGUGAAAAAAUGGACGGUGUCUUCACAACCUGUGGUCCAGUUACCUCGUCUAUAUGAUUCUCUCAAGAGUCCUCAGGAUUCAACGAUGGAAAGGAGACAAAUUUUGCUUAGAGAAGGUGAUGUCCUAUAUCUUCCUAGAGGUUUUGCACAUGAGGCAUGCACAACUACAGAUGUUGAUUCAAGCGACAAGGUUUAUGUGUCCUCUAUACAUCUUACUCUUGCUAUAGAGGUUGAGCCUCCUUUUGAGUGGGAAGGCUUCGCACAUGUCGCGCUUCAUCAGUGGAGCCGUAAUAAAUGCUCUGAUAUUAUAGACUCGGGCCCUCUUAGGAAUUUCCUUGCUAUUUCGGUGAAUAUUUUGCAUGUCGCAAUCAGGCUAAUUAGCAGUACAGAGACGGUUUUUCGGAAAGUUUGCUUGGUUGCUGCUAGUUCCUUGCCUAGAGAAACUGAAGACUGGCUUGACAUGAACCAGAGAACCAUUUUUGAUCUGGUACUAUACAGAAUCAAUGAGCUAUCCAGCUUCACAGAUUCUCUAAAUUUUUUACAAAUGGCUAUUCAAAAAGAUGAAGAUCCUUUUCAUUGGGUCAGAUGGGUUGAGCAUCUUGAUGGAGAAGUAACUGUUGAUAAUGGGUUUAUUACUUUUGACGGAAUUCACGAAACGUUACCAUUUAUUCAUCAAUGCAGGGAUGACGUAGAAGCUGCGUUCGCUCUUGUUAAGUCAAAAUUUUGUAAUGAUGUUCGCUUUGAUGAUACUAAAGAGAGCUAUAAAUCUUUGUAUGUCAUGUACAAAGAUGCCAGAAUGCAAUAUAUGAAUGGAAUGCUUUCUUUACAUAAUCAGUCGAAUAUGUUAUAGAACAAAAACCGAUCUUUUCCUGAUUUGUUUUUUCACCAUUACCCGUCCCACAGGUGCGCAUCCUGAGCCUUUCUCUUCAUCUUUUCUACAAGAUGUGAUGAUUCCUGUGAAUAAAUUAUGCUUUUGGCGAUGGUGCUAAUUUCCUAUAUGUAAAUCAAACCCGUUCUACCGAGGACUGAGAAAUUAAGUUUUGUCUCAAGUUCAGGGAUGCUAUUUUCUAUAUCUAAUUCUUUUGUUUUGUUUCGUUUAUGUUUAGCGAAAGUUUGAUGCUGGCUCAAGGUGGUGAAGAGGCGGCAUGCAAUUCAUGAUCGAGGCUUGUAAGGGUUCCAAACUCAACGUUGGCAACUAAACACGAAGGUUGCACUUGUUUCGGGACUUAACACCUUGCGGCAUUAUGCGACGACAACCAUGCACCACUUGAGUUUGCGUUUGCGAAGGCGCUCUUCUCUUUCUAGAGGAUUUGCUGCAUGUUAAGCCCUGUAUUGUGGAAAGAAGACCUUGUUCUCUAAUAGAUCUCAUCAUUAGUUUUUCAGACCUGAUAGACAAGACUACUAAGGAUUGACAUAGUAGAUUUUUAUCCUUUGGGAAUUGACAGAUUCGAAUCAUGAUCUAGGCCUUUAAGAUAAGCUCCUAGUAUACUUAAACUUGAAAUUGGUAAAUUUUGAUGAAGUUUAGCAUAAGAAUUCUUAAAAUGCUUAAGUGUUAAUACACAUAUUAAAAAAAAAAAAUCUUAAUUCUAAGAAAAAUUUUAAAAUUAGGAAAAUGAGUUUUUAAUUUAAAAAAAUAAUCAAAAUAGCAAGUUUUGUAAUACACCGACUCACAAUGAGAUGAGCCUAUAAAAUCAGGUAAUUUCUCUAAUUGAUCAAUUUAAGAUUGUAAGUGAUCACUUUAAAGUUACAGGUGCUCUCUUGAGAGACCGUCUUUUUUAAAGACGGUUCUUAAAAGCCCAGCCCAAAACUAUUGCUGAAAUUAAAAAACAAACGCGCGCAUGUGAAGUGGAAUGUGAAAAGUCAUAUAAUAUAUUUGGGAUUAUAACAAUAUUUAUUUGAAGUUAUUAAUAAUAUAUUUGGUGGUAUACCAGCAUAUAUUUAAGGAAUAUAUUUAAAGUUAUAACAGUAUUAUAUUUGAGGUUAUAACAUGAUAUAUAUGGGUUUAUAACAAUAUAUAUCUGUGGUUAUAACAUAAUAUAUUUGGGGUUUUAACAUAAUAUAUUUAGAGUUGUGACAAUAUAUAUUUGAGAUUAUAAUAUAAUAUAUAUGGGGUUAUAAUAUAUAUUUGGGAUUAUAACAUAAUAUAUUUGGUGUUAUAAAUAUACUAUACCCUCAAAUACAGACCAUUAUAUACCCAACUACAUAAUUUAAAAACCCCCAAAUACAUAAUAUUAUAACCCCAAACACAGACAAUUAUAUACCCAAAUAUAUAAUGUUAUAACCCAAACACAGAUCAUUAUACACCCAACUAUACGUGCGUGUUUAGAAAGUUUAAUUAAAUUUUUUUUGAAAUAUCAAAAUUGGGUCGGCCCAACUUGAGACGUCUUUACAAAAGACGGUCUCAAGUAAGAAUUUGUGUUAAA
This is an RNA transcript of Amaranthus tricolor (Joseph's coat), 4011 nucleotides long. RefSeq lists it as uncharacterized. The record is from RefSeq and is a predicted model, not a curated record. The transcript has 4 exons. NCBI's taxonomy places the organism in Eukaryota, Viridiplantae, Streptophyta, Magnoliopsida, Caryophyllales, Amaranthaceae.